UCUCAAAAAGAAAAAGAUCCCGACGGUAAAAAAAAAGAGAUCCCGACGGCCGGCGGACGGCGAGGUGUAUAGCGGGUGGCAGCAGCCGAGCAGCAUGCAGAUGCAGUCACGGCAUGGUCGUCCCUUGCCCGGCGCGUCGCCGGGGGAGCGCCGUCAGCACCGAUUCAUUCUCCGCUGUCCUCCCAAGGAAUCUCCACGGGAUUAUAUCGACACUUUGCAUCAUUCUUUCGCUUUAUUAGCCGAGACGAGAGAUCUGUUAAGACUUGGGGGAGGUGGCAAAGAUGGACUUUCCAGUGACUUCGAUAUGAUGUAUUUGUCCCAUUUAACUGCUUUUUACGAUUACUAAAAUGUAUCGAGGCUGUGGGCAAAAAUACAAAAAUCUUGACAUCUCAGAUGAGGCUAACAGUGUUAUAUCAUGGAAUUCUUUGCUAUAUCAAUCUUUUUUAAACUCGGCACAUCCACACUAAUUGGUUAUUAAGAAAUGUGUAGA
Long non-coding RNA from Triticum aestivum (bread wheat), 490 nucleotides. RefSeq lists it as uncharacterized. The record is from RefSeq and is a predicted model, not a curated record. Lineage: Eukaryota; Viridiplantae; Streptophyta; Magnoliopsida; Poales; Poaceae. The transcript has 3 exons.